Molecule: long non-coding RNA, 1312 nt
Filed under: Monodelphis domestica (gray short-tailed opossum)
Lineage: Eukaryota; Metazoa; Chordata; Mammalia; Didelphimorphia; Didelphidae
Description: lncRNA (ENSMODG00000036085.2)
Source: RNAcentral
GCGAUACUAAGCUAAGCCCUGGGAAGAGUCAGAGUUGAGAGUGGACUUGGCACAAUAGUGAGAAAAGCUUGGCCAAGAAUUUACUUUGAAAACACUAUAAGGAUAAGAGAGGAGGAGUGGUGGGCAGACACAGAUCCUGGAGAAGGUAGGAAAAGAAGAGGGGUGAUAGAUAUGUCACUUUCCCUGGAUAUAGAGUAUAUGGGAAGAGUUCAAGAUGAGAAUAGAAGGUAAAUUGAAAAGAGAAUGCCAAAGUAUAUGUUUUAAUAUGCAACUGAUAAGAGGGAGACACCAAAAGUUUGAGUAGAGAACUUUUGUGAUCAGGACAGUGGAUAGAGAAGAUGGCUCAAGAAGCUGGACAAAGAGUGAAUUUAAGAACCGGGAGACUAGAGGCAAAAAAAAAAAACACCAACAAACCAAACUGGGAGGCUAUUAUAGUAGUUUGAGAAGAAGAGUUAAGGGGUAGAUAAGAAGGUAGUGGGAAUUGAAGGGCAGAGCCAUUAUAUAGGUGAGAUUGACAGGUGAGUGGAGGUAAGAAAGGCAGGUCUGUAAGGGAGGAAAAAGGGGGACAGAUCUCUCUGAGGUUGCUAGCCUCCAGCUAAGAAGAUGGUGAAACCAUCUCCAAGAGGAAAAAAGGGAAGUGCAAGUAGGGGGAAGUUUGGGAAAGAAAGCGAUAAGUUUAGGACUGGAUAUAAUUUGAGAUUUCAGUAGGAAGCUAGUUGGAAAUGUCUAGCAGGUUACUGGAGAUUGGAAAAGGAGUCCUAAGGAAACAUAAUUUGGGGUAUCAUUUUCAUAGAUAAUUGAAGUUAUGAGGAUGAUUGAGAUCACAAAGGGAGACAGUACAGUGAGGGAAGAGGAAGAUCAAGGAAAGAACCUUAUGGACAUUCACACUUAAGGAAUGACAGGGAGAUGAGGAACCAACAAAGGAUUUAGAGGAGUAGAAAUCAGAGAUGAAGGAGAGCUGUGAACUUGUAGCACCAUGGAAGACUUCCCAUUCUCCCCAAUCUGAUGCGGCCUACAUGUAUUCACUUCCUCCCUUAACUGACACUGUCUUCUCCUUGUCUUUCCCAGAUGACUGGUGCUAUGAUUCCCAAAAAAGCAUAAUUAAAUGUUUAGAUCCAUCGUUGUGGAAGUGGGGCUGCCUAGGUAGUAGUCAAUCCCCAAUUAACAUUGUCACCCAAAAUGCCAUUUACAGAAGGAGAGAUAGUUUCCGGUUCAGUGGCUAUGACAAACAGGACAAUUGGGUUAUUAAAAACAAUGGCCACACAGGUGAGUCAUUUCUCAGUGGUUUGGGGGAGGGACCAAACGGAGAGCA